GGGUUGUGAGGUUAAGCGACUAAGCGUACACGGUGGAUGCCCUGGCAGUCAGAGGCGAUGAAGGACGUGCUAAUCUGCGAAAAGCGUCGGUAAGGUGAUAUGAACCGUUAUAACCGGCGAUGUCCGAAUGGGGAAACCCAGUGCAAUUCGUUGCACUAUCGUUAACUGAAUACAUAGGUUAACGAGGCGAACCGGGGGAACUGAAACAUCUAAGUACCCCGAGGAAAAGAAAUCAACCGAGAUUCCCCCAGUAGCGGCGAGCGAACGGGGAGCAGCCCAGAGUCUGAAUCAGCUUGUGUGUUAGUGGAACGGUCUGGAAAGUCCGACGGUACAGGGUGAUAGUCCCGUACACCAAAAUGCACAGGCUGUGAACUCGAAGAGUAGGGCGGGACACGUGGUAUCCUGUCUGAAUAUGGGGGGACCAUCCUCCAAGGCUAAAUACUCCUGACUGACCGAUAGUGAACCAGUACCGUGAGGGAAAGGCGAAAAGAACCCCGGCGAGGGGAGUGAAAAAGAACCUGAAACCGUGUACGUACAAGCAGUGGGAGCACCUUCGGGUGUGACUGCGUACCUUUUGUAUAAUGGGUCAGCGACUUAUAUUCUGUAGCAAGGUUAACCGUAUAGGGGAGCCGCAGGGAAACCGAGUCUUAACUGGGCGUUAAGUUGCAGGGUAUAGACCCGAAACCCGGUGAUCUAGCCAUGGGCAGGUUGAAGGUUGGGUAACACUAACUGGAGGACCGAACCGACUAAUGUUGAAAAAUUAGCGGAUGACUUGUGGCUGGGGGUGAAAGGCCAAUCAAACCGGGAGAUAGCUGGUUCUCCCCGAAAGCUAUUUAGGUAGCGCCUCGUGAACUCAUCUUCGGGGGUAGAGCACUGUUUCGGCUAGGGGGUCAUCCCGACUUACCAACCCGAUGCAAACUACGAAUACCGAAGAAUGUUAUCACGGGAGACACACGGCGGGUGCUAACGUCCGUCGUGAAGAGGGAAACAACCCAGACCGCCAGCUAAGGUCCCAAAGUCAUGGUUAAGUGGGAAACGAUGUGGGAAGGCACAGACAGCCAGGAUGUUGGCUUAGAAGCAGCCAUCAUUUAAAGAAAGCGUAAUAGCUCACUGGUCGAGUCGGCCUGCGCGGAAGAUGUAACGGGGCUAAACCAUGCACCGAAGCUGCGGCAGCGA
This 1176-nucleotide ribosomal RNA is filed under the name Klebsiella pneumoniae. RNAcentral's name for it is "partial 23S ribosomal RNA". It matches the Rfam family "Bacterial large subunit ribosomal RNA", at positions 1 to 1211 of the family's 2925-position model. Lineage: Bacteria; Pseudomonadati; Pseudomonadota; Gammaproteobacteria; Enterobacterales; Enterobacteriaceae. The record is from RNAcentral.